GGACUACCGGGGUUUCUAAUCCCGUUUGCUCCCCUAGCUUUCGUUCCUCAGCGUCAGAAAAGACCCAGUGAGCCGCCUUCGCCUCCGGUAUUCCUGAUGAUAUCAACGCAUUUCACCGCUCCACCAUCAGUUCUGCUCACCUCUAUCUUCCUCUAGCCCAGUAGUUUGGAGCGCAGUUCCUCGGUUAAGCCGAGGGCUUUCACACCCCACUUUCUGGACCGCCUACGAACUCUGUAAGCCCAGUGAUUCCGAAUAACGUUUGGACCUCUCGUAUUACCGCGGCGGCUGGCAC
RNAcentral lists this ribosomal RNA (292 nucleotides) under uncultured bacterium. RNAcentral describes it as "partial 16S ribosomal RNA". RNAcentral also lists the same sequence under 2 other names. The record is from RNAcentral.